This 217-nucleotide ribosomal RNA is filed under the name uncultured Actinomycetales bacterium. Its description in RNAcentral is "partial 16S ribosomal RNA". It matches the Rfam family "Bacterial small subunit ribosomal RNA", at positions 130 to 334 of the family's 1533-position model. Lineage: Bacteria; Bacillati; Actinomycetota; Actinomycetes; Actinomycetales. The record is from RNAcentral.
CCCCUUCUUCUGGAUAACCGCAUGAAAGUGUGGCUAAUACGGGAUAUUCUGUGCCUGCUGCAUGGUGGGUGUGGGAAAGAUUGCGCUUUUUGGUGUUUUGGUGGGGGAUGGGCUCGCGGCCUAUCAGCUUGUUGGUGGGGUGAUGGCCUACCAAGGCGGUGACGGGUAGCCGGCCUGAGAGGGUGGACGGUCACACUGGGACUGAGACACGGCCCAG